CCUACGGGGGGCAGCAGUGAGGAAUAUUGGUCAAUGGACGGAAGUCUGAACCAGCCAUGCCGCGUGCAGGAAGACGGCUCUAUGAGUUGUAAACUGCUUUUGUACAAGGGUAAACCUGAAUACGUGUAGUCAGCUGAAAGUACUGUACGAAUAAGGAUCGGCUAACUCCGUGCCAGCAGCCGCGGUAAUACGGAGGAUCCGAGCGUUAUCCGGAUUUAUUGGGUUUAAAGGGUGCGUAGGCGGAUUGAUAAGUUAGAGGUGAAAUGUCCGAGCUUAACUCGGGACCUGCCGCGAGUACUGGUGAUCUAGAGAGUAGAUGCGGUAGGCGGAAUGCAUGGUGUAGCGGUGAAAUGCUUAGAGAUCAUACAGAACACCGAUUGCGAAGGCAGCUUACUAAACUAUAACUGACACUGAAGCACGAAAGCGUGGGGAUCAAACAGGAUUAGAUACCCCAGUAGUC
Molecule: ribosomal RNA, 460 nt
Filed under: uncultured bacterium
Lineage: Bacteria
Description: partial 16S ribosomal RNA
Rfam family: Bacterial small subunit ribosomal RNA
Source: RNAcentral